RNAcentral lists this non-coding RNA (46 nucleotides) under Clostridium beijerinckii NRRL B-598. Its description in RNAcentral is "ssNA-helicase RNA". It matches the Rfam family "ssNA-helicase RNA". Rfam says of the family: Firmicutes, Actinobacteria (1 example). Downstream gene Lineage: Bacteria; Bacillati; Bacillota; Clostridia; Eubacteriales; Clostridiaceae. The record is from Rfam by way of RNAcentral.
UCGCCUAAGCUAGUAUUACCUUAGGCGACUUCUGUAACGUGUCACA